RNAcentral lists this non-coding RNA (27 nucleotides) under Homo sapiens (human). The record is from RNAcentral. Lineage: Eukaryota; Metazoa; Chordata; Mammalia; Primates; Hominidae.
CAGGUUUGCUUAAGAUCUGUGGGCCCC